UGGGCAGUAUCUAUUAAAGAACUGCACCUGACAACUUCUCAAAAAUUUUUAUACAACCAACCAAAUAUCUGCCUUGAUCCAAAGGACUGGGACAGAGGG
Bacillus sp. CHD6a is the source of this 99-nucleotide non-coding RNA. NCBI's taxonomy places the organism in Bacteria, Bacillati, Bacillota, Bacilli, Caryophanales, Bacillaceae. The record is from Rfam.